This 483-nucleotide ribosomal RNA is filed under the name uncultured bacterium. Its description in RNAcentral is "partial 16S ribosomal RNA". It matches the Rfam family "Bacterial small subunit ribosomal RNA", at positions 28 to 523 of the family's 1533-position model. The record is from RNAcentral.
GACGAACGCUGGCGGCGUGCUUAACACAUGCAAGUCGAACGAUGAAUCCGGAGCUUGCUCCGGUGGAUUAGUGGCGAACGGGUGAGUAACACGUGAGAACCUGCCCUUGACUCUGGGAUAACUGCGGGAAACUGUAGCUAAUACCGGAUACGACCCUCGGCGGCAUCGCCAGGGGGUGGAAAGAAUUUCGGUCAAGGAUGGACUCGCGGCCUAUCAGCUAGUUGGUGAGGUAACGGCUCACCAAGGCGACGACGGGUAGCCGGCCUGAGAGGGUGACCGGCCACACUGGGACUGAGACACGGCCCAGACUCCUACGGGAGGCAGCAGUGGGGAAUAUUGCACAAUGGGCGCAAGCCUGAUGCAGCAACGCCGCGUGAGGGAUGACGGCCUUCGGGUUGUAAACCUCUUUUAGUAGGGAAGAAGCGAAAGUGACGGUACCUGCAGAAAAAGCACCGGCUAACUACGUGCCAGCAGCCGCCGUAA